This 477-nucleotide ribosomal RNA is filed under the name uncultured Lysobacteraceae bacterium. RNAcentral describes it as "bacterial SSU rRNA". It matches the Rfam family "Bacterial small subunit ribosomal RNA", at positions 27 to 499 of the family's 1533-position model. The record is from RNAcentral. Lineage: Bacteria; Pseudomonadati; Pseudomonadota; Gammaproteobacteria; Lysobacterales; Lysobacteraceae.
GAUUGAACGCUGGCGGCAUGCCUAACACAUGCAAGUCGAGCGGCAGCGCGGGGGCGACCCUGGCGGCGAGCGGCGGACGGGUGAGUAAGGCAUCGGAAUCUGCCCUGAUGUGGGGGAUAACGUAGGGAAACUUACGCUAAUACCGCAUACGACCGAGAGGUGAAAGCGGGGGACCGAAAGGCCUCGCGCAGCAGGAUGAGCCGAUGUCCGAUUAGCUGGUUGGUGGGGUAACGGCCCACCAAGGCGACGAUCGGUAGCUGGUCUGAGAGGAUGAUCAGCCACACUGGGACUGAGACACGGCCCAGACUCCUACGGGAGGCAGCAGUGGGGAAUAUUGGACAAUGGGGGCAACCCUGAUCCAGCAAUGCCGCGUGUGUGAAGAAGGCCUUCGGGUUGUAAAGCACUUUUAUCGGGAACGAAACGCGCCGGGUUAAUACCUUGGCGAACUGACGGUACCCGAGGAAUAAGCACCGGCUA